Molecule: long non-coding RNA, 592 nt
Filed under: Homo sapiens (human)
Lineage: Eukaryota; Metazoa; Chordata; Mammalia; Primates; Hominidae
Description: HSALNT0079397
Source: RNAcentral
UUGCAAUGCUUGGAAAGUGUCUCAGGUGUGAGUUGGUGGAGCCUGCACUCCCAGCAGCUAAGGUGACAAGCGUUUUUCGGUUCUGCCAGGGGAUCUGAGUGGCACACAACAACAUCCACUAUGAAAUGUGGUGUGUGCUGGGUGGGGGCUGACUGAGGAGCUCGAGAGUAGGAGUGAGGCAGGCUAUUUUAAAGAGGUGGCAAGGGAAGGCCUCUCUGAGCAAAGGCAGAGACUUUAGGCAAAGACUUGAUUGGUGUGAGGAAGUGAGCCAUUCAAAGUCAAGGGCACCAGAGGUUCUAAGCAGAGGAAACAGCAAAUGCAAAGCAGAGAACAAGCUUGGCACAUUUGAGAACCAACAAUAAGUCCAGUGUGUCUGGAGCCACAGGAGUCAAGGAGACAGCAGCUGGCAGUUCAGCCAAUGGGCUACCAGGAAACCAGAUGGCAGAGAGCCUGGUAGACCACGGUAGAAGCAUAUGGGAAACUGCAUUCCGAUCCAGGGAAGUAUAGGAAGCAGUAAUAAAAGUGGGAAGACCUAUUAUAAGUUCGUUGCAGUCAUCCAGGAGGCAGAGUGUGUGCAGGAACUCAAAGCCCA